RNAcentral lists this ribosomal RNA (415 nucleotides) under actinobacterium BAL143. Its description in RNAcentral is "bacterial SSU rRNA". It matches the Rfam family "Bacterial small subunit ribosomal RNA", at positions 52 to 484 of the family's 1533-position model. The record is from RNAcentral. Lineage: Bacteria; Bacillati; Actinomycetota; Actinomycetes.
CACAUGCAAGUCGAGCGGUAAGGCCUUUCGGGGUACACGAGCGGCGAACGGGUGAGUAACACGUGGGUGAUCUGCCCUGCACUUCGGGAUAAGCCUGGGAAACUGGGUCUAAUACCGGAUAUGACCUCAKRUYGCAUGAYUUGKGGUGGAAAGAUUUAUCGGUGCAGGAUGGGCCCGCGGCCUAUCAGCUUGUUGGUGGGGUAAUGGCCUACCAAGGCGACGACGGGUAGCCGACCUGAGAGGGUGACCGGCCACACUGGGACUGAGACACGGCCCAGACUCCUACGGGAGGCAGCAGUGGGGAAUAUUGCACAAUGGGCGAAAGCCUGAUGCAGCGACGCCGCGUGAGGGAUGACGGCCUUCGGGUUGUAAACCUCUUUCAGCAGGGACGAAGCGCAAGUGACGGUACCUGCAG